CAGGAAGGAGCCUCCCCAGAAACGGAACCAGCGGGAACCUUGACCUGAGACUUGCAGCCUCCAGAACUGUGAGAAAAUAGAUUUCUGUUGUUUCAAGCCCCCGAGCCUGUGGUAUUCUGUCCCAGCAGCCUGAGCAGGCUGAAAUGGUCCCAAGUUCUUGUCCCACAUCCAGAAGAAUAAGGUUAUGCAGACAACCGGAGAGUGAGCAGGGCAGAAAAAACUUACUGCAGGACGGAACAGCUCCCAGUGUUGAGGGGCCCUGAGAGUGGGCAGCCACUACCUGAAGAGGGACCACGCUUCGCUUAUCCAGUCGUCAUUCACGGACCCUGCAUUGUCUCUGCCUCUUGGGCUUUGUGAAGAACACUACUGUGAACAGGGGAGUCCCCCUGCCUGUUUGGGUCCCUGCUUUCCAUUUCUUUGGGAGGUAUGUGGAGAGGAGAUUGCGGGGUCAUGUGGUCAUUCUAUUUGGCCCUCGGAGGAGCAGGCAUCCUGUUUUCCACAGCAGCUCUGCCAUCAAAUGGCACUUUCUUAGUGACACCCCCCGUAUCUCUCACCAUAAAUGUCUCUCCCCGUAAACAUUGCAACUCCUGGCUCACUUUCCUUCUCCUGUAACUUGUCACUGUGGAACUCUCAGGUGUGCCUGAGCCGACUCGCAGCAGCCCAGGAGGGCCAGCAGUGAGGCCCCUUCCCCGCUCCGUGGUCAGUGCCUUCACACAGGGAGUUUGGAGGUGGCUGUAGUGGAGGACUCACACCGCAGAAAUCAGCCAGUGCUGCAGGUCAGGGGCCGCCAUCCCCCAGAGCUGCUGUGAGACAUCGACCAGCACAUCAGUGGGCUGCUUUCUGCUGGUUUUAUUUGCAUGUAUUUUGGUCUGUUUCCCUACCUAGAAAAUAAACUCCCUGUGGCAGAA
RNAcentral lists this long non-coding RNA (908 nucleotides) under Pan troglodytes (chimpanzee). RNAcentral describes it as "lincRNA". Lineage: Eukaryota; Metazoa; Chordata; Mammalia; Primates; Hominidae. The record is from RNAcentral.